RNAcentral lists this ribosomal RNA (465 nucleotides) under uncultured bacterium. RNAcentral describes it as "partial 16S ribosomal RNA". It matches the Rfam family "Bacterial small subunit ribosomal RNA", at positions 28 to 507 of the family's 1533-position model. The record is from RNAcentral.
GACGAACGCUGGCGGUGUGCUUAACACAUGCAAGUCGAACGGUAAGGCCCUUUCGGGGGUACACGAGUGGCGAACGGGUGAGUAACACGUGAGUAACCUGCCCUCAUCUCUGGGAUAACAGUCGGAAACGGUUGCUAAUACUGGAUAUGAGCUUGCAAGGCAUCUUGUGGGUUGGAAAGAUUUUUUGGCUGGGGAUGGACUCGCGGCCUAUCAGCUUGUUGGUGAGGUAGUGGCUCACCAAGGCUUCGACGGGUAGCCGGCCUGAGAGGGCGACCGGCCACAUUGGGACUGAGAUACGGCCCAAACUCCUACGGGAGGCAGCAGUGGGGAAUAUUGCACAAUGGACGGAAGUCUGAUGCAGCAACGCCGCGUGCGGGAUGACGGCCUUCGGGUUGUAAACCGCUUUCAAUUGUGACGAAGCUUUUUGUGACGGUAGCAGUAGAAGAAGCACCGGCUAACUACGUG